AGCGUACACGGUGGAUGCCCUGGCAGUCAGAGGCGAUGAAGGACGUGCUAAUCUGCGAUAAGCGUCGGUAAGGUGAUAUGAACCGUUAUAACCGGCGAUUUCCGAAUGGGGAAACCCAGUGUGAUUCGUCACACUAUCAUUAACUGAAUCCAUAGGUUAAUGAGGCGAACCGGGGGAACUGAAACAUCUAAGUACCCCGAGGAAAAGAAAUCAACCGAGAUUCCCCCAGUAGCGGCGAGCGAACGGGGAGCAGCCCAGAGCCUGAAUCAGUGUGUGUGUUAGUGGAAGCGUCUGGAAAGGCGCGCGAUACAGGGUGACAGCCCCGUACACAAAAAUGCACAUGCUGUGAGCUCGAUGAGUAGGGCGGGACACGUGGUAUCCUGUCUGAAUAUGGGGGGACCAUCCUCCAAGGCUAAAUACUCCUGACUGACCGAUAGUGAACCAGUACCGUGAGGGAAAGGCGAAAAGAACCCCGGCGAGGGGAGUGAAAAAGAACCUGAAACCGUGUACGUACAAGCAGUGGGAGCACAGAGCAAUCUGUGUGACUGCGUACCUUUUGUAUAAUGGGUCAGCGACUUAUAUUCUGUAGCAAGGUUAACCGAAUAGGGGAGCCGAAGGGAAACCGAGUCUUAACUGGGCGUUAAGUUGCAGGGUAUAGACCCGAAACCCGGUGAUCUAGCCAUGGGCAGGUUGAAGGUUGGGUAACACUAACUGGAGGACCGAACCGACUAAUGUUGAAAAAUUAGCGGAUGACUUGUGGCUGGGGGUGAAAGGCCAAUCAAACCGGGAGAUAGCUGGUUCUCCCCGAAAGCUAUUUAGGUAGCGCCUCGUGAAUUCAUCUCCGGGGGUAGAGCACUGUUUCGGCAAGGGGGUCAUCCCGACUUACCAACCCGAUGCAAACUGCGAAUACCGGAGAAUGUUAUCACGGGAGACACACGGCGGGUGCUAACGUCCGUCGUGAAGAGGGAAACAACCCAGACCGCCAGCUAAGGUCCCAAAGUCAUGGUUAAGUGGGAAACGAUGUGGGAAGGCCCAGACAGCCAGGAUGUUGGCUUAGAAGCAGCCAUCAUUUAAAGAAAGCGUAAUAGCUCACUGGUCGAGUCGGCCUGCGCGGAAGAUGUAACGGGGCUAAACCAUGCACCGAAGCUGCGGCAGCGACGCUUAUGCGUUGUUGGGUAGGGGAGCGUUCUGUAAGCCUGCGAAGGUGUGCUGUGAGGCAUGCUGGAGGUAUCAGAAGUGCGAAUGCUGACAUAAGUAACGAUAAAGCGGGUGAAAAGCCCGCUCGCCGGAAGACCAAGGGUUCCUGUCCAACGUUAAUCGGGGCAGGGUGAGUCGACCCCUAAGGCGAGGCCGAAAGGCGUAGUCGAUGGGAAACAGGUUAAUAUUCCUGUACUUGGUGUUACUGCGAAGGGGGGACGGAGAAGGCUAUGUUGGCCGGGCGACGGUUGUCCCGGUUUAAGCGUGUAGGCUGGUUUUCCAGGCAAAUCCGGAAAAUCAAGGCUGAGGCGUGAUGACGAGGCACUACGGUGCUGAAGCAACAAAUGCCCUGCUUCCAGGAAAAGCCUCUAAGCAUCAGGUAACAUCAAAUCGUACCCCAAACCGACACAGGUGGUCAGGUAGAGAAUACCAAGGCGCUUGAGAGAACUCGGGUGAAGGAACUAGGCAAAAUGGUGCCGUAACUUCGGGAGAAGGCACGCUGAUAUGUAGGUGAAGUCCCUCGCGGAUGGAGCUGAAAUCAGUCGAAGAUACCAGCUGGCUGCAACUGUUUAUUAAAAACACAGCACUGUGCAAACACGAAAGUGGACGUAUACGGUGUGACGCCUGCCCGGUGCCGGAAGGUUAAUUGAUGGGGUUAGCGCAAGCGAAGCUCUUGAUCGAAGCCCCGGUAAACGGCGGCCGUAACUAUAACGGUCCUAAGGUAGCGAAAUUCCUUGUCGGGUAAGUUCCGACCUGCACGAAUGGCGUAAUGAUGGCCAGGCUGUCUCCACCCGAGACUCAGUGAAAUUGAACUCGCUGUGAAGAUGCAGUGUACCCGCGGCAAGACGGAAAGACCCCGUGAACCUUUACUAUAGCUUGACACUGAACAUUGAGCCUUGAUGUGUAGGAUAGGUGGGAGGCUUUGAAGUGUGGACGCCAGUCUGCAUGGAGCCGACCUUGAAAUACCACCCUUUAAUGUUUGAUGUUCUAACGUGGACCCGUAAUCCGGGUUGCGGACAGUGUCUGGUGGGUAGUUUGACUGGGGCGGUCUCCUCCUAAAGAGUAACGGAGGAGCACGAAGGUUGGCUAAUCCUGGUCGGACAUCAGGAGGUUAGUGCAAUGGCAUAAGCCAGCUUGACUGCGAGCGUGACGGCGCGAGCAGGUGCGAAAGCAGGUCAUAGUGAUCCGGUGGUUCUGAAUGGAAGGGCCAUCGCUCAACGGAUAAAAGGUACUCCGGGGAUAACAGGCUGAUACCGCCCAAGAGUUCAUAUCGACGGCGGUGUUUGGCACCUCGAUGUCGGCUCAUCACAUCCUGGGGCUGAAGUAGGUCCCAAGGGUAUGGCUGUUCGCCAUUUAAAGUGGUACGCGAGCUGGGUUUAGAACGUCGUGAGACAGUUCGGUCCCUAUCUGCCGUGGGCGCUGGAGAACUGAGGGGGGCUGCUCCUAGUACGAGAGGACCGGAGUGGACGCAUCACUGGUGUUCGGGUUGUCAUGCCAAUGGCACUGCCCGGUAGCUAAAUGCGGAAGAGAUAAGUGCUGAAAGCAUCUAAGCACGAAACUUGCCCCGAGAUGAGUUCU
Molecule: ribosomal RNA, 2775 nt
Filed under: Escherichia coli
Lineage: Bacteria; Pseudomonadati; Pseudomonadota; Gammaproteobacteria; Enterobacterales; Enterobacteriaceae
Description: bacterial LSU rRNA
Rfam family: Bacterial large subunit ribosomal RNA
Source: RNAcentral